CGACCCAUCUCGUCGUUUCGACCCAUCUCGUCGUUUCGACCCAUCUCGUCGUUUCGACCUAUAUCUUCCCGAAUGAAGCGCAACAGCGAAUAUUCUUAAAUUCUUUUUUCUUCAUCUGAAAAAACAUAACUGCUUCUUCUCAGUUUUCACCAACGCGUUUUCUCUAACGCGUUUUCUCUAAUCGAUCCCUUUGUUUUCAUCGAAAUCAAUUCUUCUUCGUUCAACUCACUCGGUUCGGUUAUGGAUUCGGGCAAUUUCCGUUCCAUAUUAGAGAAUUCUGGCGUGGACGUAUGGUCGUUCAUCGACACCGCAAUCGCCGUUGCUGCGACGGAUUCCGGCGAGGAACUGAUGCGCCGCAGAGACGCAAUCGUCGAGAGGCUAUAUUCAGCCACCACAGCUCCUUUGAGUUGCCGGAAUUGCGAUGACGGCGGCAACCGUAGCGUCGUCACCACCAACGGCAAUCAAGUUAUGAAACAUAAAAGCCCUAGCCGUAGCCCUAAACGACAACCACAACAACGCCGUUUUGUUUCCUCCCCCGAAACGCCACAGUCUCACGAAAACGACGUAGAUCCGUAUGGUGGUUUAUUCGACGAUGAACAAAAGAAAAUUCUGGAAAUUAAGGAGCUACUCGAAGAACCUGACCAGUCUGAAGAUUCAUUGGUUGAUUUGCUUCAAAAUCUCGCUGAUAUGGAUAUUACAUUCCAAGCUCUGAAGGAAACUGAUAUUGGGAGGCACGUGAAUCUGUUGAGGAAGCAUUCCUCUAAUGAUGUCCGUAAAUUGGUGAAGCUACUUGUCAAGUUGCGUAAUUGAAAUCAUUUGCUUUUGUUGUUGCAGAAAUUAAUGUUAUAUUUUUAUAAAUUUGAUUACCUUUAUUUACUUAUCAUUUGCAGGAAGUGGAAGGAAAUUGUGGAUGAGUGGGUUAAGUCGAAUCCGCGUGGAGAAACUUCUACUCUUAUGGCUGAUGGAGACUCACCCCCUCUUCAGAAAACCACCCAAAAUGGGCAUCAUCCGGUGACGAAUUUAUAUUUUUCUUAGUCUGUUCGAUUGAGUUAGUUUUUGAAGAGAAACGGAAAAAAAACUUGUGAGCCAUGAAAUACAUGACUAUGAGGCCUUCUUGUUCCCUUUUAAAAUUUAACCUGAUAGACGGACUCCGAGUGAAGUUUAGCCUUUGGCUGGGUUGAUGCUAAUAGUAUUCCAUUCGUUUUGCAGAUACCUGAUUUUGCAUACUCACCGAAUCCACACAAUGGGAGUUCUGGGUCUGACCGCAAUGAAGGAGAAUUAAAAUCAAAAGCCAUUCCUCCUCGCAGAGAAGCACCAGCUCAAUCACCUUCACUUCACACCCCUGAGACAGAGAGAACAGAGAGAGAGCAACUUUGAUGCAGAGAGACUUUCUUCUGCAACAAAAAGGCUUCAAGCCAAUUAUAAAGAAGCUGAAAAUGCCAAAAAGCAAAGGACUAUUCAGGUGAUGGAUAUUCAUGAAUUACCAAAGUCAAAAUCCAAGAAUACCUUCUUUGGAAAGAACAAAGGCAGUGCCAGUUCUCAAGGGAGGCACUGGUGAAUGGUGAUACAAACACAUGUUUCCAUAGUUCGUAUCAUGUUAACUGUACAAAUUGUCUUGUGGAUUUUGUGCUUGAUACACCUAUUUUUUCUCGUGUUCUUUAAUUGUGACUGAGUUUAAUAAUUACAAGAGUAGGAAUAUAGGUUUAUAAAAAGGGAUUCAUUCAGUGGUUUAUAAAAAGGGAUACGGAUAAGGUAGGAAUAUAGGUUUAUAAAAAGGGAUUCAUUCAGUGGU
RNAcentral lists this long non-coding RNA (1792 nucleotides) under Lupinus mutabilis. RNAcentral describes it as "partial ncRNA". Lineage: Eukaryota; Viridiplantae; Streptophyta; Magnoliopsida; Fabales; Fabaceae. The record is from RNAcentral.